AUUGAACGCUGGCGGCAGGCCUAACACAUGCAAGUCGAGCGGAUGAAGGGAGCUUGCUCCUGGAUUCAGCGGCGGACGGGUGAGUAAUGCCUAGGAAUCUGCCUGGUAGUGGGGGAUAACGUCCGGAAACGGGCGCUAAUACCGCAUACGUCCUGAGGGAGAAAGUGGGGGAUCUUCGGACCUCACGCUAUCAGAUGAGCCUAGGUCGGAUUAGCUAGUUGGUGGGGUAAAGGCCUACCAAGGCGACGAUCCGUAACUGGUCUGAGAGGAUGAUCAGUCACACUGGAACUGAGACACGGUCCAGACUCCUACGGGAGGCAGCAGUGGGGAAUAUUGGACAAUGGGCGAAAGCCUGAUCCAGCCAUGCCGCGUGUGUGAAGAAGGUCUUCGGAUUGUAAAGCACUUUAAGCUGGGAGGAAGGGCAGUAAGUUAAUACCUUGCUGCUUUGACGUUACCAACAGAAUAAGCACCGGCUAACUUCGUG
RNAcentral lists this ribosomal RNA (484 nucleotides) under uncultured bacterium. RNAcentral describes it as "partial 16S ribosomal RNA". It matches the Rfam family "Bacterial small subunit ribosomal RNA", at positions 30 to 507 of the family's 1533-position model. The record is from RNAcentral.